GACGAACGCUGGCGGCGUGCCUAAUACAUGCAAGUAGAACGCAGUUGCGAACGGGUGAGUAACGCGUAGGUAACUGCAUGGUAGCGGGGGAUAACUAUUGGAAACGAUAGCUAAUACCGCAUACUACCAGAUGGACCUGCGUUGUAUUAGCUAGUUGGUGAGGUAACGGCUCACCAAGGCAACGAUACAUAGCCGACCCGAGAGGGGGAGUGGACAACCUGGGAAUGAGAAACGGGCCAGACCCCUACGGGAGGCAGCAGUAGGGAAUUUUCGGAAAUGGGGGGAACCCGGAACGAGCAACGCCGCGUGAGUGAAGAAGGUUUUCGGAUCGUAAAGCUCUGUUGUUAAGGAAGCGGUACUUAACCAGAAAGGGACGGCUAACUACGUGCCAGCAGCCGCGGUAAUUC
Molecule: ribosomal RNA, 407 nt
Filed under: uncultured bacterium
Lineage: Bacteria
Description: partial 16S ribosomal RNA
Rfam family: Bacterial small subunit ribosomal RNA
Source: RNAcentral